UACGUAGGGGGCUAGCGUUGUCCGGAAUCAUUGGGCGUAAAGAGCGUGUAGGCGGCCCGGUAAGUCCGCUGUGAAAGUCGGGGGCUCAACCCUCGAAAGCCGGUGGAUACUGUCGGGCUAGAGUGCGGAAGAGGCGAGUGGAAUUCCUGGUGUAGCGGUGAAAUGCGCAGAUAUCAGGAGGAACACCGGUGGCGAAGGCGGGUCUCUGGGCCGAUGACUGACGCUGGAGGAGCGAAAGCGUGGGGAGCGAACAGG
Molecule: ribosomal RNA, 255 nt
Filed under: uncultured bacterium
Lineage: Bacteria
Description: partial 16S ribosomal RNA
Rfam family: Bacterial small subunit ribosomal RNA
Source: RNAcentral